This is a long non-coding RNA of Arachis stenosperma, 192 nucleotides long. RefSeq lists it as uncharacterized. Lineage: Eukaryota; Viridiplantae; Streptophyta; Magnoliopsida; Fabales; Fabaceae. The transcript is spliced from 3 exons. The record is from RefSeq and is a predicted model, not a curated record.
GCUGCUGCACUGUCUCCAAGCCGUUACGUCGCCACUCAUCUCUUCACUGUCACUGCUCAACACCAUCGUCGUAUCCUCUGUCACCAGUUCGAAGGUGUGUAUGAUUUUGAUAGUGAUGAUGAACUGCAAUGGCUAAUUGAGAUACAGAAGCAAUAGGUGCUGGAAAUUUCAUACGUGCGUGCUAAACUAGGG